Molecule: ribosomal RNA, 717 nt
Filed under: uncultured bacterium
Lineage: Bacteria
Description: bacterial SSU rRNA
Rfam family: Bacterial small subunit ribosomal RNA
Source: RNAcentral
CCGAUGACUCGGGGAUAGCCUUUCGAAAGAAAGAUUAAUACCCGAUGGCAUAGUUCUUCCGCAUGGUAGAACUAUUAAAGAAUUUCGGUCAUCGAUGGGGAUGCGUUCCAUUAGGUUGUUGGCGGGGUAACGGCCCACCAAGCCUUCGAUGGAUAGGGGUUCUGAGAGGAAGGUCCCCCACAUUGGAACUGAGACACGGUCCAAACUCCUACGGGAGGCAGCAGUGAGGAAUAUUGGUCAAUGGACGAGAGUCUGAACCAGCCAAGUAGCGUGAAGGAUGACUGCCCUAUGGGUUGUAAACUUCUUUUAUACGGGAAUAAAGUGAGGCACGUGUGCCUUUUUGUAUGUACCGUAUGAAUAAGGAUCGGCUAACUCCGUGCCAGCAGCCGCGGUAAUACGGAGGAUCCGAGCGUUAUCCGGAUUUAUUGGGUUUAAAGGGAGCGUAGGCGGACGCUUAAGUCAGUUGUGAAAGUUUGCGGCUCAACCGUAAAAUUGCAGUUGAUACUGGGUGUCUUGAGUACAGUAGAGGCAGGCGGAAUUCGUGGUGUAGCGGUGAAAUGCUUAGAUAUCACGAAGAACUCCGAUUGCGAAGGCAGCCUGCUGGACUGUAACUGACGCUGAUGCUCGAAAGUGUGGGUAUCAAACAGGAUUAGAUACCCUGGUAGUCCACACAGUAAACAAUGAAUACUCGCUGUUUGCGAUAUACAGUAAGCGGCC